UCCGAGUCAAAGCUUCAAUUUCAUUUUUCAAUUGGAGGUAGUCCUAGAUAUCAUGGUGGUGAUCUCAAUAGAAGUGACAGUACUUCCUUUUAUUCCUCCUUAUGGAUGGAGUCUUUGUCGGUGAAGGUCAGCAGAGAUAUCGUUGGCCUUUGAUCUCCAUCCAGAUUAGGGUUCAAUGAGCAGUCAGAAGAGCAUAAUUGCUAAAUCACCUAUAGAGACUCCUCGACCUAAGACUCUUUGUUGGUUGGGAGGAUUCUUCUUCAGCAUAGAUUACAUGCAGAUCCCCCCAUCUCUGCUUUUUGUUGGAAGUCCUCCUCCUUUAGCAUACUUACACAUAAUUUGGGCCUCUUCUACCUAUGCAUACUUUUGAGCCCGUGCUAGGAGAUCGGUAUAGUCCUUCGAAAAAAUUUUAUCGAGGAAGAAGAUGAGAUGCUCAUUUCGAAGUCCUCUCUUAAGGACCGACAUCGCCACCGACUAAUCAAAAUUGGGCAUCUCC
RNAcentral lists this long non-coding RNA (496 nucleotides) under Elaeis guineensis (African oil palm). RNAcentral's name for it is "long non-coding RNA (EGUI_LNC002027)". Lineage: Eukaryota; Viridiplantae; Streptophyta; Magnoliopsida; Arecales; Arecaceae. The record is from RNAcentral.